Molecule: long non-coding RNA, 591 nt
Organism: Carassius auratus (goldfish)
Lineage: Eukaryota; Metazoa; Chordata; Actinopteri; Cypriniformes; Cyprinidae
Exons: 4
Source: RefSeq, a predicted model, not a curated record
CCGCGUGACAAUCGGCUUAAUAAUGCUUCAGUGUGUGGUACUCCUCAAAACACGGGACAGCACACAAGGGAGUGUUGCAUGGCACACACAUGUGCUUGGUGAGGCGCCUCUGCUUGCCCUUGCGUGUGUCCAAGGCAGGACACCCGCCUUUGGUUGGACCUCGCAACGUGCUGUACUCCUCCAGCAGCCCUCUCAUCAGUAAUUUGCCGGUAGACGAUGUGGCUGUUGAGUAAAACCGUGUCGAGUACAUGAAAAAAUACUUUCUUGUACCACUUGGUAGACUUUCUGGUGCAUUCAUGAAAACCAGUCAUCAUAUCAGCUUUGUCAACUGCACCCAUCUUUUUGUUGUACUCCAGUACACAGACUGGCUUCAUCAUUGGUUGCCCAGUGAGGUGAUCCAGCUUGCCUGUGGCUGCCAUACCAGUUGGAUGGACUGUGGUGAACUUUGGCAUCCCUUUUCUGUGUCCGCGCACGGUCCCACAAGCUCCAGUGCCAAGUGACAAGAGGUGCUGGAAAAGUGUGGGACUACUGUACCAGUUGUCAACAUAUAGAACAUGACAUUUGCUUAAGUAAGGUGCUAAGAGUGUCAUC